Molecule: long non-coding RNA, 404 nt
Organism: Salvia miltiorrhiza (redroot sage)
Lineage: Eukaryota; Viridiplantae; Streptophyta; Magnoliopsida; Lamiales; Lamiaceae
Exons: 3
Source: RefSeq, a predicted model, not a curated record
AUUUAAACCUCAAUUCCUCAACCCCAACUCACCUCUUCAUCUGUUCAUUUAACAAAAAUCUGCAGAUUCUCCCUACGAAUCCCAGCUGGUGCGGCGCGACUAGGAUGUGAACUUUAAAUUCUUGCAGUUAAUUUUCAAAGCUCAAAAGUUCAAGUUUCAGUUUCAGGUGAAUGAUAUUGGAGGCGCGUGGAGAGUCGAAUGGGCGCGUCGCAUCUAUUUAAAAAUAAAUGUUUCUUAAAACAUAUUAUGUUAUUUCAUGUGAUAUCUUUUGGUUAUGUAAACUCUGAAAUUCUAUACUAUUUGAGAUUUGUGUGUGAUUUGUCUAAAUAAAUGUUGUUAUAUUAUUUUAAUGUCAUGACUUGUUUAAUUUAUAUUUAAAUUCAUUUCAAAUAUUUAUUUAAGAA